GCGUAGAGGGACACGAUGUCCCCAAUGUAGAGGAAGCUGGACAUUUUGUCAGACAUGCUGCUUCACGCUCCUGUGGCCGUCCCCGCUGUCUCCGCUGCGCGCAACGGCGAGGUUUCUCCCUGAGGCGGAGGCUCUCUCAUUCUCAGCUGGGCUGGAAUGCAGCAAGUUCCAGCAAGCUUCCUGUCUCCACCCCUGGCCCCUGGAGCUGGGAUUACAGAGCAUCUCGGCCCUGCAAGACCUAUCAAGGAUGCUGCAGUCAGAAGCAUUGUGUUCACGAUGAACACAAGGUAUUAGCUUUUGGAAUAUUGUAAAGCAUAUGCUCAGGACUUGGGGUGUGUAUAGCUCACCAGGAGAGCAUCUGUCGAGCAUCCAGGAGGCCUUGGUUUUGAUCGCCAGCGCAGAGGAAUGAAGAAGAGGAGGAGAAGGAGGAGCAGGGAGGGGAAGGGGAAAAGAAUAAACGAGAAUUGAGAUUCAUCCAAAUAUUAGCGAGGAUACCAGUUCACGAAUCAACUCUUUGCCAAAAUUUAUGCAAAUAGUGAACCCUGGGCCCUCAUUUGCCUUAUGUGGAGAGUGAGCACAAUAAUGAUGCCUGCAGUAAUGGUCUAGAUUAGGAAACACGUUUAAUAACUUUGGCAUGGCAGAGCCUGGCAUGAAGCAAGUGCUCAAAUAAAUGCUAGUUGCUAAGAUGAUGAGACAAGCGACAAUGGGUGUCACAGAUACCUCACAAUCAGAUGUCACCACCAGAGCACAAUGCCACCAGUGCCUGAGCCCCUGCCAGCAACACCUCCAGAGACUUCCUCAACAGCUCUUCCAUACACACGCCAGACCGUCUGGGAACACAAGCAAGCACUUGCUAAUGACUGGCGUGUGGGUUCUCUCAGAGACCUCCUUUAAUAUAUGCAAAAGAAAUCAUUUUUUUAAACAGGUAGACAUAACAAAGGAAUAGUGUGAUACUAAAAUAAAUAAAUAAUACAUUUAUUUUUUUAAAAGAUGUCUAAGUAACCACCUGCAGAUGCCAUGUGAGAACGCUAACUUCCACAAGUCAAGGCUUUCGGUCGUUUCUCAGAAUGGAGCACAUAACACCCACGGAGAAACUGCACUGCUAUGCUGGCAUCACCGGGGAAGGACAGACACGCCUACAAACUCCGUAACAUGGGCAUCAGUGUACACAGAGAGUGUCGCGUGGCCAGUUAAGGUUCUAAAAUACCAAGAGAGGUUUGCAAGGCAUGGGCUCAUUUCCAAGAUCCCUUGAGGGUCUCUGCACUGAUCUCAAUUGCUCCUAUCAGGAUUUGAACCCUGGCCUGACGUCCAGAAGGUCCUUGCUGGCUGGUAAAAGCUAACAGGAAGUGAAAGACUUCAGAGAGUCUGCAGAGAUGAAAACCGCGUACUGCAAGGAAGAAACUGGAUUGUGUCUGUGUGGAACAUUCACGGUAGCAAGCUUUCUUGUCAGACUGUCUUUGGAUCCAGCCCCAAAAGAAUGACACGGAAACGUAUUAUUAAGUAUGAAAUCUUGGCCUUUAGUCUAGGCUUGUUUCCAACUAGCUCUUACAACUUAAGUAACCCAAAUGUUUGUAAUUCUGCCAUGGGGCUCUUUACCUUCCCUCAGUACAGCACGUCCUACUUGCUUCAAGUCUGCUGGUAAAUUCCACGCACCUAGAUUCCUUCUCCUCUUCCCCUCUCCCUCCUCAGAAAUCCCAUCUAUCCUCUCCCGCCUAUCUACUGGCCGUUCAACUCCUUAUUAAACCAAUCAGAAGGUGCCUCGGAAAAGACACAGCCUCACAGUAUAGGAAGAGACUCUCCCACAACUGUUCACAUCUGUUCUCUGAGCCUAGUGCAGUUCACACUCAGUCCGCCCGUGGGACCACCCAACAAGAGCUGCGCUGACAAAGGAGAGACUUCCAUUUUCAUCUCACUAUGACCAUGAUGUCUGACAGGAAGACUUCAACGAGGACAGCCAAGUAAACAACAUGAUGUCUUAUCUAAUCACUUUAAAUGUUGGCAUGAGAAUGUAAAAGUGUGUCCUAAGGGAAUAAGCUGAUGUAUCAAAAAUGCUACAUUCACAGUUACACAGAAUUGCUAAUAAAGUAAAUGUUGAACAACGGCAGAUCAGUGUUGGCAUGGAUCUUGGUCCGUGAGUCUUAUGAACAUGGAAUAAGCGCUAGAGGGGUGCUGAGCAGCUAAG
Myodes glareolus (Bank vole) is the source of this 2182-nucleotide long non-coding RNA. RefSeq lists it as uncharacterized. NCBI's taxonomy places the organism in Eukaryota, Metazoa, Chordata, Mammalia, Rodentia, Cricetidae. The record is from RefSeq and is a predicted model, not a curated record.